CAGCGAAAUGCGAUAAGUAAUGUGAAUUGCAGAAUUCAGUGAAUCAUCGAAUCUUUGAACGCACCUUGCGCCCUUCGGCCAUUCCGAAGGGCAUGCCUGUUUGAGUAUCAUGAACACCUCAACUCUCAUGGUCUGCCAUGAUGAGCUUGGACUUUGGGGGUCUUGCCGGCUUGACUGUUGGCUCCUCUCAAAUGAAUCAGCUUGCCAGUGUUUGGUGGCAUCACGGGUGUGAUAACUAUCUACGCUCGUGCUCUUCCACCGGGUAACCUUCAGCGAUGAAGGUUCGCUGGAGCUCAUAGACGUCUCUCCCCAGGGAAGACAGCUUUUGAACGUUUGAUCUCAAAUCAGGUAGGACUACCCGCUGAACUUAAGCAUAUCAAUAAGCGGAGGAAAAGAAACU
This 400-nucleotide ribosomal RNA is filed under the name uncultured fungus. Its description in RNAcentral is "eukaryotic LSU rRNA". The stretch from base 1 to 110 matches the Rfam family "5.8S ribosomal RNA", at positions 46 to 154 of the family's 154-position model. The record is from RNAcentral. Lineage: Eukaryota; Fungi.